This 795-nucleotide ribosomal RNA is filed under the name uncultured Bacillota bacterium. RNAcentral describes it as "bacterial SSU rRNA". It matches the Rfam family "Bacterial small subunit ribosomal RNA", at positions 1 to 799 of the family's 1533-position model. Lineage: Bacteria; Bacillati; Bacillota. The record is from RNAcentral.
AGGAGAGUUUGAUCCUGGCUCAGGAUGAACGCUGGCGGCGUGCCUAACACAUGCAAGUCGAGCGGACCUUAGAGAGUGAACAGCUUGCUGGGAUCUCUCGAAAGGUUAGCGGCGGACGGGUGAGUAACGCGUGGGUAACCUGCCUCAUACAGGGGGAUAACAGUUAGAAAUGACUGCUAAUACCGCUAUAAGCGCACAAAGUCGCAUGAUUUUGUGUGAAAAGAUUUAUCGGUGUAAGAUGGACCCGCGUCUGAUUAGCUAGUUGGUGAGGUAACGGCCCACCAAGGCGACGAUCAGUAGCCGGCCUGAGAGGGUGAACGGCCACAUUGGGACUGAGACACGGCCCAAACUCCUACAGGAGGCAGCAGUAGGGAAUAUUGGACAAUGGGGGAAACCCUGAUCCAGCGACGCCGCGUGAGUGAAGAAGUAUUUCGGUACGUAAAGCUCUAUCAGCAGGGAAGAAAAUGACGGUACCUGACUAAGAAGCACCGGCUAAAUACGUGCCAGCAGCCGCGGUAAUACGUAUGGUGCAAGCGUUAUUCGGAUUUACUGGGUGUAAAGGGAGCGUAGACGGCAUAGCAAGUCUGAAGUGAAAUGCGGGGGCUCAACCCCUGAACUGCUUUGGAAACUGUUAAGCUGGAGUGUCGGAGAGGUUAGUGGAAUUCCUAGUGUAGCGGUGAAAUGCGUAGAUAUUAGGAGGAACACCGGUGGCGAAGGCGGCUAACUGGUCGAUAACUGACGUUGAGGCUCGAAAGCGUGGGGAGCAAACAGGAUUAGAUACCCUGGUAGUCCCCU